GAUGAACGCUGGCGGCGUGCCUAAUACAUGCAAGUCGAGCGAACGGACGAGAAGCUUGCUUCUCUGAUGUUAGCGGCGGACGGGUGAGUAACACGUGGAUAACCUACCUAUAAGACUGGGAUAACUUCGGGAAACCGUAGCUAAUACCGGAUAAUAUUUUGAACCGCAUGGUUCAAAAGUGAAAGACGGUCUUGCUGUCACUUAUAGAUGGAUCCGCGCUGCAUUAUCUAGUUGGUAAGGUAACGGCUGACCAAGGCAACGAUGCAUAGCCGACCUGAGAGGGUGAUCGGCCACACUGGAACUGAGACACGGUCCAGACUCCUACGGGAGGCAGCAGUAGGGAAUCUUCCGCAAUGGGCGAAAGCCUGACGGAGCAACGCCGCGUGAGUGAUGAAGGUCUUCGGAUCGUAAAACUCUGUUAUUAGGGAAGAACAUAUGUGUAAGUAACUGUGCACAUCUUGACGGUACCUAAUCAGAAAGCCACGGCUAACUACGUG
RNAcentral lists this ribosomal RNA (497 nucleotides) under uncultured bacterium. RNAcentral's name for it is "partial 16S ribosomal RNA". It matches the Rfam family "Bacterial small subunit ribosomal RNA", at positions 28 to 507 of the family's 1533-position model. The record is from RNAcentral.